This 508-nucleotide ribosomal RNA is filed under the name Candida dubliniensis. Its description in RNAcentral is "eukaryotic LSU rRNA". The stretch from base 145 to 298 matches the Rfam family "5.8S ribosomal RNA". The record is from RNAcentral. Lineage: Eukaryota; Fungi; Ascomycota; Pichiomycetes; Serinales; Debaryomycetaceae.
CAUUACUGAUUUGCUUAAUUGCACCACAUGUGUUUUGUUCUGGACAAACUUGCUUUGGCGGUGGGCCCCUGCCUGCCGCCAGAGGACAUAAACUUACAACCAAUUUUUUUAUAAACUUGUCACGAGAUUAUUUUUAAUAGUCAAAACUUUCAACAACGGAUCUCUUGGUUCUCGCAUCGAUGAAGAACGCAGCGAAAUGCGAUACGUAAUAUGAAUUGCAGAUAUUCGUGAAUCAUCGAAUCUUUGAACGCACAUUGCGCCCUCUGGUAUUCCGGAGGGCAUGCCUGUUUGAGCGUCGUUUCUCCCUCAAACCCCUAGGGUUUGGUGUUGAGCAAUACGACUUGGGUUUGCUUGAAAGAUGAUAGUGGUAUAAGGCGGAGAUGCUUGACAAUGGCAUAGGUGUAACCAAAAACAUUGCUAAGGCGGUCUCUGGCGUCGCCCAUUUUAUUCUUCAAACUUUGACCUCAAAUCAGGUAGGACUACCCGCUGAACUUAAGCAUAUCAAUAA